GUUUAGAGCACUAAAACUGCUUGGGAUUGGACCUUCAAGUGAUGUACCUUGUAGUUGCCUGUGUGCAACAACACGCAUCAGUCUGCAAACCUAAAUGAAAUGUUUCUCAAAGCAUCAGUAGAGUUCAAGGAAAAUCAUGCAAUUGCAUACACGACCCUGAGUUAUGUAAGAGUCCCAAAAAAGUCUGGAAACUUUCCAUUAAAGAGAUUAUCACAUGCCCAGCUGAAAUGAACAAUAAACAAAAUCCACAUUUCAAAAACAGAAUUCAAUGAUCUACGGAGAAGUACAGAACCCAAAAGUUUCAGUUGCGAUGCGAUUGGAAUAAAAAGCUUUUCGAUCCAAUUGGAAAA
This 350-nucleotide unclassified non-coding RNA is filed under the name Hevea brasiliensis (rubber tree). Lineage: Eukaryota; Viridiplantae; Streptophyta; Magnoliopsida; Malpighiales; Euphorbiaceae. The record is from RNAcentral.